RNAcentral lists this small nuclear RNA (114 nucleotides) under Otolemur garnettii (small-eared galago). RNAcentral describes it as "U1 spliceosomal RNA (ENSOGAG00000023715.1)". Lineage: Eukaryota; Metazoa; Chordata; Mammalia; Primates; Galagidae. The record is from RNAcentral.
AUUCAUACCUGGCAGAGGGAAGACUGUGGCGGAAAAGGUGGUUAUAUCAGGGAGAGGCUUGUCUUUUGCACGCAGGAUGUGCUGACCCUUCCGAGUGACUGCAGAAUUUGUUCC